UCCCUAUUAACUAGGGCAGUUUCCCGUGAAAAAUACAACACAGGAUAGGGGUUGCGCUCGUUAGCCCACUGAAGGGUACACCUCACGGCACGAGCUGACGACAACCGUGCAACACCUGUCAUUCCGUUCCUUGCGGCACUCCUCUGUUUCCAGAGGAUUCGGAAGAUGUCAAGCCUGGGUAAGGUUCUACGCUUAUUAUCGAAUUAAACCACACGCUCCACCACUUGUGCAGGUCCCCGUCAAUUCCUUUGAGUUUUAAGCUUGCGCUCGUACUCCCCAGGCGGCACACUUAACGCGUUAGCUUCGGUCCAAGAAAGGGUCGAUACUCUCCAAGACCUAGUGUGCAUCGUUUACGGCGUGGACUAC
RNAcentral lists this unclassified non-coding RNA (366 nucleotides) under uncultured bacterium. Its description in RNAcentral is "contains 16S-23S intergenic spacer region". The record is from RNAcentral.